GACGAACGCUGGCGGCGUGCUUAACACAUGCAAGUCGAACGGAAAGGCCCUGCUUUUGUGGGGUGCUCGAGUGGCGAACGGGUGAGUAACACGUGAGUAACCUGCCCUUGACUUUGGGAUAACUUCAGGAAACUGGGGCUAAUACCGGAUAGGAGCUCCUGCUGCAUGGUGGGGGUUGGAAAGUUUCGGCGGUUGGGGAUGGACUCGCGGCUUAUCAGCUUGUUGGUGGGGUAGUGGCUUACCAAGGUUUUGACGGGUAGCCGGCCUGAGAGGGGGACCGGCCACAUUGGGACUGAGAUACGGCCCAGACUCCUACGGGAGGCAGCAGUGGGGAAUAUUGCACAAUGGGCGGAAGCCUGAUGCAGCAACGCCGCGUGCGGGAUGACGGCUUUCGGGUUGUAAACCGCUUUCGCCUGUGACGAAGCGUGAGUGACGGUAAUGGGUAAAGAAGCACCGGCUAACUACGUG
Molecule: ribosomal RNA, 468 nt
Filed under: uncultured bacterium
Lineage: Bacteria
Description: partial 16S ribosomal RNA
Rfam family: Bacterial small subunit ribosomal RNA
Source: RNAcentral